GGCAAGAUGGCCGAGCGGUCUAAGGCGCUGUCUUCAGGAUUCUGAUUGGCAGUCCGAAAGGGCGUGGGUUCGAAUCCCACUCUUGUCA
Molecule: transfer RNA, 88 nt
Organism: Madurella mycetomatis
Lineage: Eukaryota; Fungi; Ascomycota; Sordariomycetes; Sordariales
Rfam family: tRNA
About the family: Transfer RNA (tRNA) molecules are approximately 80 nucleotides in length.
Source: Rfam